UGGGGUGUAGCCCAGUGAUGGACCAUGUGCUUGGCGUGCACAAGGUCCUGGGUUCAAUCCCCAGCACCUUCA
Molecule: transfer RNA, 72 nt
Filed under: Camelus bactrianus (Bactrian camel)
Lineage: Eukaryota; Metazoa; Chordata; Mammalia; Artiodactyla; Camelidae
Also listed under: 1 other name
Rfam family: tRNA
About the family: Transfer RNA (tRNA) molecules are approximately 80 nucleotides in length. Their secondary structure includes four short double-helical elements and three loops (D, anti-codon, and T loops).
Source: Rfam by way of RNAcentral